AUUGAACGCUGGCGGCAGGCCUAACACAUGCAAGUCGAGCGAGCGGCGGACGGGUGAGUAAUGUCUGGGAAACUGCCUGAUGGAGGGGGAUAACUACUGGAAACGGUAGCUAAUACCGCAUACCAUCAGAUGUGCCCAGAUGGGAUUAGCUAGUCGGUGGGGUCACGGCUCACCUAGGCGACGAUCCCUAGCUGGUCUGGGAGGAUGACCAGCCACCCUGUAACUGAGACACGGUCCAGACUCCUCCGGCAGGAAGCAGUGGUGAAUAUGUCACAAUGGGCGCAAGCCUGAUGCAGCCAUGCCGCGGGUGUGAAGAAGGCCUUCGGGUUGUAAAGCACUUUCAGCGGGGAGGCGUUACCCGCAGCAGAAGCACCGGCUAACUCCGUGCCAGCAGCCGCGGUAAUUC
This 406-nucleotide ribosomal RNA is filed under the name uncultured bacterium. RNAcentral's name for it is "partial 16S ribosomal RNA". It matches the Rfam family "Bacterial small subunit ribosomal RNA", at positions 30 to 526 of the family's 1533-position model. The record is from RNAcentral.